This 313-nucleotide ribosomal RNA is filed under the name Escherichia coli. RNAcentral's name for it is "bacterial LSU rRNA". It matches the Rfam family "Bacterial large subunit ribosomal RNA", at positions 1 to 305 of the family's 2925-position model. Lineage: Bacteria; Pseudomonadati; Pseudomonadota; Gammaproteobacteria; Enterobacterales; Enterobacteriaceae. The record is from RNAcentral.
GUUGUAUAGUCCAGUAAUUAAGUGCAUGUGGUGGAUGCCUUGGCAGUCAGAGGCGAUGAAAGACGUGAUAGCCUGCGAAAAGCUCCGGGGAGGCGGCAAAUAUCCUUUGAUCCGGAGAUGUCUGAAUGGGGGAACCCACCUACUUUAAGGUAGGUAUUGCAACAUGAAUACAUAGUGUUGCAAGGCGAACGAGGGGAAGUGAAACAUCUCAGUACCCUUAGGAAAAGAAAUCAAUUGAGAUUCCCUCAGUAGCGGCGAGCGAACGGGGAUCAGCCCAUUAAGUUAUGUGUGUUUUAGUGGAACGCUCUGGGAA